Molecule: ribosomal RNA, 253 nt
Filed under: uncultured bacterium
Lineage: Bacteria
Description: partial 16S ribosomal RNA
Rfam family: Bacterial small subunit ribosomal RNA
Source: RNAcentral
UACAGAGGUCCCAAGCGUUGUUCGGAUUCACUGGGCGUAAAGGGUGCGUAGGUGGUGAGGCAAGUCGGAUGUGAAAGCUCGGAGCUCAACUCCGAAAUGGCAUUGGAAACUACCUUGCUCGAGGGUUGGAGGGGGGACUGGAAUGCUUGGUGUAGCAGUGAAAUGCGUAGAUAUCAAGCGGAACACCAGUGGCGAAGGCGAGUCCCUGGACAGCUCCUGACGCUGAGGCACGAAAGCUAGGGGAGCAAACGGG